AUGAGUGGAGGGCAUGGUGAUGCUCGGAUGGCUUCAGGUAAGAUGGCAAAGUUGAAGGAGUUGUUGGACAGAAGUGAAAAUCGCAUUUGUGCUGACUGCAGCGCACCUGAUCCCAAAUGGGCAUCAGCUAAUAUUGGAGUAUUCAUAUGCGUAAAAUGUUCUGGCGUUCACAGAAGUCUCGGUACACAUAUCUCAAAGGUCCUGUCAGUGACACUAGAUAAGUGGACUGACGAUGAAAUCGACUCCAUGGUAGAAGUUGGUGGAAACUCGCAAGCCAACGCAAUCUAUGAGGCCUUUCUUCCAGAAGGCUACCGCAAGCCACACCCAGAUUCCGCACAGGAAGAUCGGCAAAAUUUUAUCAAGUCCAAAUAUGAACUUCAAGAAUUUCUGGAGCCAAGCUUACGGAUCGUCUCUAAUCAUCCUAGCAAUGCCGGAAAACAAGCAUCCAACUCACAUUCUGGUAGCUCCAAGAGUGAGAUUGGCAUGGUUGAGUUCAUCGGGAUACUGAAUGUCAAAGUCAUCGGAGGCACCAAAUUAGCUAUCAGAGAUGUGUCUAGCAGCGACCCCUAUGUUGUCUUGACCCUCGGACAACAGAAAGCGCAGACUUCAGUGAUCAAAGGAAACCUGAACCCCGUCUGGAAUGAAGAACUCAAGCUCUCUGUUCCUCGGAAGUACGGGCCUCUGAAGCUGCAAGUGUUGGACCACGACAUGGUGUCCAAGGACGACCUGAUGGGGGAGGCCGAGAUCGACCUGCAGCCCAUGAUCAAUGCGGCAGCAUCGUUUGGAGAUCCAGAACUGCUCGGGGACAUACAGAUCGGCCGGUGGCUCAAGUCCGGGGACAACGCUCUAACCGCCGACAGCGCUGUCAUGGUGACCGGAGGCAAGGUGAAGCAGGAGGUCUCCCUGAAGCUGCAGCACACCGAGUCGGGGGAGGUGACGGUGGAGAUGGAAUGGAUGGCUCUAAACAUUUAG
This 972-nucleotide ribosomal RNA is filed under the name Triticum aestivum (bread wheat). RNAcentral describes it as "partial small subunit ribosomal RNA". The record is from RNAcentral. Lineage: Eukaryota; Viridiplantae; Streptophyta; Magnoliopsida; Poales; Poaceae.